Plectropomus leopardus (leopard coralgrouper) is the source of this 936-nucleotide non-coding RNA. The record is from RefSeq and is a predicted model, not a curated record. Lineage: Eukaryota; Metazoa; Chordata; Actinopteri; Perciformes; Serranidae.
GUCGUCGACCUUCGGCCGGCUGACUCAGCGGGUGGACCUGAGCGAGGCCGAGCUGGAGGGAAACAUCCGCCAGCUGAGCUUCAGGAUCCAGAGACUGGAGAACAUCCAGAGGAGGUCUAAAGCCUUCAGGAACAGAGCGACGGAGCUGGAGACGCAGCUGGAGGUCUUCUCGGUUCAGUACCUGCAGGGGACCUGAGAGCGGCGCCCCCUGCUGACGGACCGAGGACCGCCUCCUCUCUGAGGACCAGUACAGAAAACUUUCCUUCAUUAUUCCAUCUCAGUGUGAACUCUGUUUUCUUUAAAAAAUCAACAAAAAAUUACAGAAAACGACACCAAAACCUUUCUUAAAGAAAUACCCAAUUUUUAAUUUUUAAAGAAAAAAAAUUCACCAGUUUUUCUUUAAACUCACCAAAAAAUAAGGAAGCUUUUUUUUAAAAAAUGUUUUUCUUAAAAAGAGUUUUUUCAAUUAAAAGUCGCAGUAAAAACAGUAAAAAAUGCGUCCAUUUACAGUCGGAUGUUCCUCCCCGAAAGCAGAAAUAAAAGAAGCCCCUGCUGAAGCGGCAGAAAAACGCUCCCCCGCAUCAAUAACACGCAGUCCCUAACAACGACGUCUCACUCCGCUCGCGUCCUGAGCCCAUCAUCCAUCACGUCUGAACGUUCGAUGGAUGACAAAACCAAAAAUCUCAUUUCAUUUAACAUAUAAAAAUAACGGCGCUUUUUCUUUUUCUUUAAUGAAUUCAUUUAUUCACUUUUGUCUUUGGAUUCUUUAGAUUUGUCGUCAGAAUCUGUUUUUUGGAAGUUUUUAGUAGUUUUGAGAAGUUUUUGGCUGAUAAACGUUUGUCUGUAAAAGACUUUGUGACUGAAAGUUUAAACUGAUUUACUGGAUGAAGAUGUUUUGUGAAAACAUGUUAAAAACAAUAAACUGUGCAAAUAAAA